Callithrix jacchus (white-tufted-ear marmoset) is the source of this 3153-nucleotide non-coding RNA. The record is from RefSeq and is a predicted model, not a curated record. NCBI's taxonomy places the organism in Eukaryota, Metazoa, Chordata, Mammalia, Primates, Cebidae.
AGUAUUAAUACCAAUUACAUUUUUCUUCUACACUGUGGAGAAUUAUUAUGCAGACUAACAACAUGCAUGCAUGUUAAAGACACACAACAAAUGCAAAUAAUACAAAGAAAAUGCAGUUCUCUAGAGAGAAUGACUGUUUUCUACAUCCUCUAGCUUGACUCCUGUGUGCAACAUAAACUUUUUCUCUGUUGUGCCCAUGAGAAUACCUUAAAACUUGGGUGAUCAUAUAAUUCAUGGUCAAGUCAGGACAGUCUUUGUGAAUGAAAGGAGAACUGUUAAUAAUUACACCGGGGCCGAGUACAGUGGCUCACCUCUGUAAUCCUAGCACUUGUGAGGCUAAGGUGAGAGGAUAGGAUAGCCUGAGGCCACAAGUUUGAGGCCAGCCUGAGCAACAUAGCAAGACGCUUGUCUCUGCAAGAAGCAAAACAAAACAAAAAACUUGCCAGGUGCGGUAGUGUGUGCUGGUAGUCCCAGCUACUAGGGAGACUGAGGUGGGAGGAUUGCUUCAGCCUAGGAGUUCUGGGCUGUAGUGUGCUCUGCCGAUCAGGUGUCUGCACUAAGUUUGGCAUCAAAAUGGUGACCUCCAAGGAGCAGGGGACCACCAAGUUGUCUAAGGAAGGGAGAAGCAGCCCAGGUCAGAAACAGAGCAGGUCAAAACUUCUGAGCUAGUUAGUAGUGAGAUCGUGCCUGUGAAUAACCAUGGCACUACAGCCUGGACAACAUAGCAAGAUUGCAUCUCUGAAAAAUAAAAAAGUAAAAAGUAAAUACCUAGUCGGGUGUGACAGAUGCUUGUUGUCCAAGCUACUGGGGAGGCUGAGGUGGGAGGAUGGCUUGAGCCUAGGAGAUUGAGGUUGCGGUGUGCCAUGGUCAUGCCACUGCACUCUAGUCUGAAUGACAGAACGAGACUCUCUCUAAAAAUUAAUUAAUAAUUACAUUGGUAUAAUAGCUGAAACUGGAAUUGUCUGGGGCAAAGUGAGAUGUUAUGGAAUUUGAAAAAUUAACAUGCCUUUACAUAUUUUGCUCUCACCCUGUUUUUGCCAGAUCCUAAACUGUGAAGUCUUCUCUUACUCCUUUCCCUAGCUUUAAAAAAUGUUACAUUUUUCUAAAAUGUGAUAUAUUCUUGUCAUUUAAAAAAGCCACAUUUUGUUUUCACCACACACAAGAAAGGUUACCUGUGAGACAAUGAAAGUGUUAAUUAGCUUGAUAGUGGUGAUCACUUGGUAAGGUAUACAUAUAUCUGAUCAUCUCAUUGUACACCUGAAAUAUAUACAAGUUUUAUUUGUCAAUUAUAGCUCAAUAAAACUAGGGGGGAACCCCAUAUCUAGCAUGAGGCAGGUAUCUUGUACAUUACUUAAUUUUCCUGACUUGCUGAAGGACCCUUCCAGAAACUUUUGUGCAAUCUACCUUGACAGUCACUAGACUGUGUGUACCUUUGAGCAAAUACUGCCCCUAUUCACCCUGUAUCUCAGAGUGCUGGGCACAGAGAUGGUACUCAACUACAUUUGUUGAAUGAGGGAAACACCAUAUGUGAGAAGGAGACAAAUUUCACCUCCUUUAUUAAUUGGAUGUGCUAAUCUACUUUAGAAUGUUUCCUUCUUCUCUCUUGAUUGACAUGUGGAAUUACAUAUUUUUUCCUGCUAUUGCCUUAGUAGCCUCUUCUGGUACCUGUGAUAAUAUGAUAGCAUGUGACUCAUCCUUCUGACCAAAGCUGUGACGACUCUGUGGGCCUUAUAACAAAGAGGGUGUGAGCUUCACAUUAAAUGUGAUUCGAAGCUUCUAGAUUCCACAUAUGUAUUCAGCUAUGGAAGUACCUCCUAAACAUGGACAGAAGUGCCUUGACACGUCAGAUGAGAUUACAGAUCAGAUUCCACGCAGGAUCAAGAUGGGGGUCUUGUGCUGUUUCCCAGGCUGGAGUCGUGCGAUCUCAGCUCACUGCAAUUUCUGCCUUCUGGUUCAAGUGAUUCUCCUGCCUCAGCCUCCUGAGUAGCUGGGAUUACAGGCAUGUGCCACCAUGCCCAGAUAAUUUUUGUAUUUUUAGUAGAGACAGGUUUUCGCUGUGUUGACCAGGCUGGUCUUAAACUCCUGAUCUCAGAUGAUCCACCUGCUCUCGACCUCCCAAAGUGCUGGGAAAACAGGUGUGAUCCACCGCACCUGACCCUUUGUGGUUUUAUUUAAGAGACAAAUCUAGCAUAUAUUUUAGAGUUUAGUAUAAUAUAUGAUGGUUCAGAAUGUCAGUGCCAAAAAAGUGACCCAGAUAGUAUGAGCUAUAGGAGUUCCCAGAAAGGUGAACAUAGCAGGGGAGGUUACCAGGAGAAAGUGGGACUUGAGCAGGAUCCUGAAAUAUGGGGGCUUUUAGCAGGAAUGGAACAGAGAGAAAGGACCUCAAAACAAACAAACACAGAAUAAGCAAAGGCAGAAAGUCAUACAUGAUAAUACUGUUUAUAGAAGAGAGUGAGGAGAUUAUCCUGGCUAGAGGGAAGGUACCAUAUUUGGAGUUAUUAGGAAUAAAUAUCAAAUUAGAUGAGGGCCAGAUAGUGAAGGAAUUUCAAUGAGAGAAAAAAUGUGUUUUGACUUUACUCAAUAUAGGUUUUGAGAACCUUUAGCACAUGUCUUGAAUAGAAAUGUGAUGCUGUUGCAAAGAGCUUACAGUAGCUCAGGGGUUCCACCAUUACCCAAAUAAUCAGGCAGUGUUCCUGGAAGUAUAGUAAGGAGGACACUCUGACACAGGCAGCCCCCUAGUAAUGGGAAGAGGAAGAGGAAGAGGAAAUGGAUCAAAGAGGAAGGAUAAUGUCUGAUUUUUCUAACUACGUGAAAUCUUAAAAGACUUUCUUUUUCUCUUUCUUUUUUUUUUUUUUUGUGAGACAUGGUCUCAUCCUACCACCCAGGCUGCAGUGCAGUGGCACGAUCUUGGUACACAGCAACCUCUGCCUUCCUGGUUCAAGGGAUUCUUGUGCUUCAGCCUCCCAAGGAGCUGGGAUUACAGGAAUGCAAGGGUGGCUUAGCAUUUGAGACCAGCGACUUCUUGAGUCUAGGAGAUGGAGACAGGAUUCUGGGGAGACCAAGGUGGCUAGAGUGCAGAGCAGAGGAUUCGAGGAUGGACCAGAUAGUCGCAGAGUCCUGGGGAGUGUUCAGCAGCUUGCUGAUCAGGUAUGU